GAUGAACGCUGGCGGCGUGCCUAAUACAUGCAAGUCGAGCGAACAGACGAGGAGCUUGCUUCUCUGACGUUAGCGGCGGACGGGUGAGUAACACGUGGAUAACCUACCUAUAAGACUGGGAUAACUUCGGGAAACCGUAGCUAAUACCGGAUAAUAUAUUGAACCGCAUGGUUCAAUAGUGAAAGACGGUCUUGCUGUCACUUAUAGAUGGAUCCGCGCUGCAUUAGCUAGUUGGUAAGGUAACGGCUUACCAAGGCAACGAUGCGUAGCCGACCUGAGAGGGUGAUCGGCCACACUGGAACUGAGACACGGUCCAGACUCCUACGGGAGGCAGCAGUAGGGAAUCUUCCGCAAUGGGCGAAAGCCUGACGGAGCAACGCCGCGUGAGUGAUGAAGGUCUUCGGAUCGUAAAACUCUGUUAUUAGGGAAGAACAAAUGUGUAAGUAACUAUGCACGUCUUGACGGUACCUAAUCAGAAAGCCACGGCUAACUACGUG
Molecule: ribosomal RNA, 497 nt
Filed under: uncultured bacterium
Lineage: Bacteria
Description: partial 16S ribosomal RNA
Rfam family: Bacterial small subunit ribosomal RNA
Source: RNAcentral